RNAcentral lists this ribosomal RNA (619 nucleotides) under uncultured bacterium. Its description in RNAcentral is "bacterial SSU rRNA". It matches the Rfam family "Bacterial small subunit ribosomal RNA", at positions 54 to 651 of the family's 1533-position model. The record is from RNAcentral.
CAUGCAGUCGUACGAGAAAGUCUCUUCGGAGGCGAGUAAAGUGGCGCACGGGUGAGUAACACGUAAACAAUCUACCCUGUUGACCGGGACAACCCCGCGAAAGCGGAGCUAAUACCGGAUAAGCUCUAGAGGACAUACAGUUCUUUAGAGGAAAGUGGCCCUCUGAUCUACGGUCGCACGACAGGAUGGGUUUGCGGCCCAUCAGCUUGUUGGUGAGGUAACGGCUCACCAAGGCUAUGACGGGUAGCUGGUCUGAGAGGACGAUCAGCCACACUGGGACUGGUACACGGCCCAGACUCCUACGGGAGGCAGCAGUGGGGAAUAUUGGACAAUGGGGGAAACCCUGAUCCAGCAAUGCCGCGUGAAGGAAGAAGGUUCUUGGAUUGUAAACUUCUGUCAUAGGGGAAGAAAUCCUGCUAUAAAAUAUAUGGUAGGUUUGACGGUACCCUAAGAGGAAGCACCGGCUAACUCCGUGCCAGCAGCCGCGGUAAUACGGAGGGUGCAAGCGUUGUUCGGAAUUACUGGGCGUAAAGCGUGUCUAGGUGGAAACGUAAGUCAUGUGUGAAAGACCUUGGCUCAACCAAGGAAUUGCGCCUGAAACUGCGUAUCUUGAGUGACG